AGAGGCCUCUCUUCUGAUAUCCUUCUUAACUUAAUCUACACUGGCUGUGGGUUCCCUUUAUUUUUUUUUCUGGAAUCCUAGAGGAUGCACGGAUACAAUUCACCCAAUGUGUCCAUCUCUCCUCUCCUAAGUGUCAGUCUAUAGGUUUCUGACCUCUAGAGGGUAAGCAACUUGCCCGAGAUCCCCUAGCUGGUCUGAGCAGCAAAGCCUUUGAACGCAGUUUUGACUCUGGAGCUGCAUUCUUCAUUCUUAUCCUACACUUGCUUGUGAAUUCUUUUUCGUCCUUCCAGAAUCCCUGAAGCUGUACAGCUAUACUUUACCGGUUACGUCUAGACUAUAAAGGACCACAGUGUUCCACCUCAGGCAGGUUCAGCGACCUGCAAGUAGUGAUACAGCUGGGAAAGUUACAGAGCCUGCGGGAAGCUCCGGCUGCAACUUCAGUUCUGACCAGAGGUUCUGUGAACCUUCAGGAUUUAGCAGGUUUCCAGGACCGG
RNAcentral lists this long non-coding RNA (494 nucleotides) under Homo sapiens (human). Its description in RNAcentral is "non-protein coding PDZRN3-AS1:2". Lineage: Eukaryota; Metazoa; Chordata; Mammalia; Primates; Hominidae. The record is from RNAcentral.